RNAcentral lists this ribosomal RNA (460 nucleotides) under uncultured bacterium. RNAcentral describes it as "partial 16S ribosomal RNA". It matches the Rfam family "Bacterial small subunit ribosomal RNA", at positions 338 to 795 of the family's 1533-position model. The record is from RNAcentral.
CCUACGGGUGGCAGCAGUGAGGAAUAUUGGUCAAUGGGCGAGAGCCUGAACCAGCCAAGUCGCGUGAAGGAUGACUGCCCUACGUGUUGUAAACUUCUUUUGUCAGGGAGUAAUUGGUUCCACGCGUGGGCUUAGCGAGAGUACCUGAAGAAAAAGCAUCGGCUAACUCCGUGCCAGCAGCCGCGGUAAUACGGGGAAUGCGAGCGUUAUCCGGUUUUAUUGGGUUUAAAGGGUGCGUAGGGGGUAUAUCAGGUCGUCGGUAAAAUUUCGGGGCUCAACCCCGUCGUGCCGUUGAAACUGGUAGUCUUGAGUGGGCGAGAGGUAUGCGGAAUGCGUGGUGUAGCGGUGAAAUGCAUAGAUAUCACGAAGAACUCCGAUUGCGAAGGCAGCAUACCGGCGCCCAACUGACGCUGAAGCUCGAAAGCGUGGGUAUCGAACAGGAUUAGAUACCCUGGUAGUC